CGCCGAUGGCCCCAGGCCCCCGGAAUCCUCUGGGCGGCCCUGACACUACUGGAUACGAUGCACUAAGGCUCUGGGGCUGCAUUUCACCAAAGAGAGGCAAACAACCCAGCCUUGCUGCAAUAAUGUGAAAUGGAGUAACUUUCAGACAGUUUAGGAUGUAUGCCCAUUUGCUCCACCUUUCAGCAGUCUACAAGACCACAGCUGACUAAGCCUGCCAGCUGUGACAAUAUCUAAAAAGACUCCAGUAAAGGAGCGAGGAAAGCUAAGGAGGAGGCAGACUCAUGGUCCCAUCACCCCUCUGAACCUGCCUAAGCAGCAAGGCUCACCAAGGGGAACAAGCUUUCCCAUCCUAACAGAUUAAGAAGAUAAUUUAUCCCCUCUGCACAAGGGUAGCCCGAAGGAGAUUGUGCUUCUCUGAGCUACAGCCUCUCUGGUGAUCCUUCUGGGGCAGCACAGAUCUGCAGUGUCCUUCAGUCAAGGCUGUAUCUUAAACAAGCAUAAAACCCCCCCAAAAUGUUAUCUUGCCCACUGUGUCAAAAUGGCAAAGCUGAGCUCAGAUAAAUACAUUUAAAAUCAAGUAGAAGAAAAUAAUUGAAAAUUGUGAGCUGCAGCAUUUAUAUGUUUAACUUUUUAGUUCCUAUUAAUGUGAUGAAACAGCCAUACAGUGGGUUUUGGAGAUUUUUGAAGUGUUAGACAGUUUGACCACUGUUUUAGAUAUUCAAUGGAUCCAGCUGUAGCUCUAGCUGAAGUCCACGACUGCAUCCAUUGCCUAAUAAACUCCUCUUCCCCCAAUCAACUUGUAAAGCUCAGCAUAGACUAAAGAUGGUGCCCUCAGGCAAACAGUUAAGAAGUUAACGAAAUUUAAAUUCUCUAGGGGCCUGUUGAAUGUAUUCUUUUUUUCCCAAACAGUUCUUUGAGUUUAUAUCAAGUCUAAUUGAUUUUUUUUUUUAAAAAGCAUGGGAUACUCCCGCCUCUCAGUUCAACAUUUGGUCCUUCUUCUUUGUAGCUAACAGCAGGAGAUCAAUUUAUAAAUUGUUUAAAAUGUUCACAGUUAAUGAGAUGAACUCAUGCAAAUUUUAAUAUUCAGAGUUUACUUUGAUUAAAAUACAAAAACUUUUCACGUUAACUCAAGGAUUUUUUUUUCAAUUCAGACAAGUUCAGAGCUGGAGUGCCACGUAAUUUAGUGUUUAAUCAGUAGAACUACUGUGGCAUUGGCUGAUUAGCCUGGCUCAACUGCUGCCUGCUCAAUUUUUCCCCAUAAUUGCAGGAUAUACUUUAUUGUGACAGGGCUUGAACAGUGGAAUUCCAAUAUGCUAUACAUCAGGUUCCCUAUUAUUGGAUUAGCUAGAUGUGGCAUCAUUACCGCUGCACUUUCAUGCCUAUCAUUGAUCGCAUCGUUCUUUCUAUUUCACAAUUAAUGCAAGUCAGCUGGAUUGAUCAAUCUUCUGAUGAGUGUGGGCCACAGUCAAUAUAUUCUUAUGGCUGUGUGUUACUGAUCCGUAUGUUUUAUAGCGGUGCCUAAGGAUUUGUCAUUCUGGCUACAGAGUCUCAUUUUUAGAUACUACUGCUCUUAGCUAGCUUCUUAAUCAUUCAGUGUUUAUGAAUUACAAAUGUAACAAUAAAAAAGAAAAUAAGAAAGAAACGUUUUCAAAUCACACAGUUGGUCAUC
Molecule: long non-coding RNA, 1669 nt
Organism: Gopherus flavomarginatus (Mexican gopher tortoise)
Lineage: Eukaryota; Metazoa; Chordata; Testudines; Testudinidae
Exons: 3
Source: RefSeq, a predicted model, not a curated record